AUAGCCCUCAAAAUGCCUCAAGUUCAGACAAGGUCAUUUAGAUCCCCAGUGACAGGCCAUUUGGGAAAGAGGGCUACACAGUGAGUGUCCUGUACAGCACAGGGUUGCCUGUAAGAGCUGCUGAAGAUAAAAGUGCCAAUAUGCCUUUCUUAUGACUUUUGAUAUAAAGUAAAAAGUAAAACGGCAGCCUUUUAUGACAUUUUAAUUCUAUUCCCUCUUUCUACCACCUCCAUUAAAACAUUUUCCUCCUCUUUUGUGCUAUCCAAGAUUAAAAAGUCAUUUAUUGCAAUAAAGGGAUUUAGUGAUUUGGGAGUAACUUUUAUAUACUGUACACCCUCUAGACACCCUGAAACUAUGUUAAUAAUUUUCUUCCUAUUAAUUGUCUCAUCAACCCACAGCUGGCUAUGCUUUUUAUUUCAUUAUGUUAUUCAUCAAUCUAAAAUAGGACUAUAACAGAAAAAGAAAUUGGAACAGAGCAAUUUCAAUAUUUCAAAACAGAUGCAAAUCAACACUAGAGAUGCUACACAGCAUAUUUUUAUUGAGACAAUUCUAUACAUGUUUGAAAAAUGAACUUGUAAUAAACUCAUAUCCUGUGAAGAUAUGUUUUUCUUUCCAUCUUAUGAGCUAAUUAUGCCAACACAACAUAACGUUUUCCUAAAUGCCUUAUAAACUGACCCAGUUACUCAGAAAGUAUUAUUUUUAAAUUGAUGUGAUAGAUGCAAACUGGAACGUUCAGAUUUCAAUUCUGGCACCAAUUCCCAGAUCCCCUACCCAAGUAAUUUAAGGACUUCCUCCCGAUAGUUUUUCAUAUUCUUUUAACUGACAUUUUAUCUUUAUACAGUAUCUCAGCAGAAUGAACAUGCACUAAAACAAUGACAGCCCUUCUCUGGCUGUCAUCUCUCAUUCUGGCAAAGACAGAUGUCUUACACUGGCUUAUGCCAAUAAUAGAGCCGACAAAAAACAACAGAGACUACCUGCCUCUGAUGUAAAGGCACCAAUUCACAUUUGUGACACUCAUUUGUCAAUUAACAGAUUUCUUCCAUUGUUGACACAUGGGACUUAAAAGAUGUGGGCUAGAAUGUGAUGAAUUAAAAAAGACAGAUGAGUAAGCUAUGAGCUGCAAAGUAAUACUAUAAUGUGCUUUAGAUAGGAAUAUCAACUGACACCCCUGACAGGCCAUACAAGGUUUUAUUUCAUUUUGCUCUGUAUCUAGGCUUCAUACUUUGUCUUCUUUGUUCUCUUUUCAUCAAGCUCCUAACAUCUCAUUCUGACAGCCAGAGACAUUUAAGGCACUUUCGUUUCAAAUGCAAGUUAGCAUACUUGAUUUGUCAUUAAAAUGCAAAACGAUUGCCAUUGCAGGUAAAUGUAGGUAUGCUUAAAAGGAUGUAUCUGAAAAGUAAAAGCUGAAAACCAUUUCUGGCUGCUUUGCUUAACUCUUUCACAAGCCUCAGUUUUUAGGAGGCAAGUGUUACUGUGCUGUAAUAGAAGUGUAGCAGCACCUGCAGUUUGAUACAGGGUACAUUUUAGUAUAUUUAAAUAACAUAAAAUCCUAAAGUUAUAACGUCAAACACAGAGAGGCACUGUCAAGUUUGCAAAUGGAGCCUUAGCACGACUCACACAAGAAUCUGAAAAGAGUCUCUCAUGUAAAGCUUUACACGAUAAAGCUUUACACAGGGUCAAAGCCCUCUGCUACACAGACACCAAUGAGGAAAAGAGGGGGAGAGUUGUUUACUCUUUUUAAUACACUAGUUGUGGUUGGAUUCGCUGGAAUCACCAGAGAGGGAAUUUCAAGUAAUUUGUUUUCUAUUCCAAUGCUCACUUUAAGAGAGAUGAGGGUGUUAACAUAAAUAAUUAAUUAAAUAAAUAAAUACAUACACACACAAAGUGUUCUGUAGCAAAAGAUGAGGACAGAUUUUAAAAUUUUGCAGAGAAAGAGACCUGCACAGGUUGGGCAUAAAUAACACUUAGCUUUCUGCAUCAUAUGCAUAGAUAUGAAUGCACUCUAUGAUAUGAAUAAGGUUAUUUCUAGUCAAUGAGAUAGAUUUGAACAUCAAGAAUCUCAGUGUUCAGCAUACAAAAUCUAGUGAAAAGAAAUAGCUAUUAUUUUCUGCAAGUGGUUUAAAAAUAAGAAUAAUAUAAUUUAAUUGAGCAAAUUUCUUGACACAGAGGUUCAGUUCAAAUAUCUGAUAUUAGGAACAUUUAUCAUAAGUUUGUACCUACAUAUCUUUUUUAUAUACUUUCUUUGUUUUUUAACUAGGGAAAAGAGAGGUGUGAAAAAGGUUUCACUACACUCACUUGGGUGCAGAAAUCUUUUUCCCUAGUUUUGUUUUCCCCCUAAGAAUGGGAACUCUGUGGACAUAUAGAGUCAGGGAAUCACACAGAAAACUCGAUUUAGAUUAUGACAUCACAGAACAUUGAAUAUAAGGCAGAGAACCUGAAACAUUUGAUUUUCUGUGUAUAGAAUAAAGUUUAUGGAUCAUUUCUGAUGCUAUUCUGCCUACUAAGGUCCACCUGCUACAAUACAGGAAUUAUUUAUUCAUUCCAUAUUAUAGGAUAGUAAUAGGCUCUGCUGCAAAUACAAAUAUCAACUUUACAACUAACAGCUGUCUUGAUGGGUUUCAGUACUACAA
This 2630-nucleotide long non-coding RNA is filed under the name Taeniopygia guttata (zebra finch). RNAcentral describes it as "lncRNA (ENSTGUG00000020319.1)". Lineage: Eukaryota; Metazoa; Chordata; Aves; Passeriformes; Estrildidae. The record is from RNAcentral.